This is a long non-coding RNA of Ostrea edulis (European flat oyster), 1037 nucleotides long. RefSeq lists it as uncharacterized. The transcript is spliced from 3 exons. The record is from RefSeq and is a predicted model, not a curated record. Lineage: Eukaryota; Metazoa; Mollusca; Bivalvia; Ostreida; Ostreidae.
UCGCGGUUGUUUGUAGCAAGUAGUUGAGAGUGGUAAUUUAUCUUUGAUUUUUCACUUCCGUGUUCUAUAAGUUUAUCAGGAUAUCUUUGUUGUUUUUUUUUAGCUCACCUGAACCGAAGGUUCAAGUGAGCUAUUCUGAUCACAUUUUGUCAGGCGUCCGUCUGUCUGUCCGUCCGUGUUUACGAGAGUGCAUAUAUUGGGUUCUUUUUAUACUCAGAAGGUACUUAUUGGGUACUUUUUGCUUAUUGGGUAUACCCAAUAGGAAGUGUUGCUAAAUGUACUUAAAAUGCCUUAAUUGGGUAUAUGCCGGCAAGUACCCAACACGACUUGGACACGACGACUUGUCCAAAAAAGUGUCUGAAAAAGUUGUUACUACGGACUGGCCGUAUUUCGCUUGUCAGCUACACUCUCGGAACUUUAAAUAUAAAACUAGUAACUCCCGAGAGUUCCGAAAAGCAACUUCCGUUAGUCUUGAUCUCUAAGGCGUUUUGUUUUCAUCAAAUAUGGCGACGAUGAAGAAGCGUUUGAGGUCGACACGAUCAGAAGAAUUUCAGGUGUGAACAUAAACAGAAAAUAUGCUAGAAGAUGUUCCAUCGGAAUUGGACAGUUUGGUAGAGGAAGCAGACCUACAGAAAGAGGAAGAAGAAGAGACAUCACUUCGAAGGAAAAAACAUCUUCAUCUUGUAAGUGCAAUUUUAUUUCAAGAUCACUGCUUUAAAUCUUCUCAGAUCACAGUCAUUUGUAUUCUAUUUGACUAACUUUUCUGAUUUUCAUCUUCUCUUUAGGUUGGUCAAUUUCAAUCAAACUUUGUGCAAAGCAUCCUUUAAUAAAAGGGGAGGGGUCAAGUUUGUCUCUGUCCAUGUAAUAUAAUUAGAAAGUGAUGAUAUAUGUUUGGGUUAUUUAACGAUCUUCUCUAGUAGAACCAUUAGGGCAUAAAAACAAUAUUUAUAUUGAAGCUUUAUCAUGUAGUGUAGAGAUGUUGAAUAUUGUGCUGCAUUGUACUGAUGGAUUUACAAAUUGUACUUUAGAGAUCCAAA